Molecule: ribosomal RNA, 251 nt
Filed under: uncultured bacterium
Lineage: Bacteria
Description: partial 16S ribosomal RNA
Rfam family: Bacterial small subunit ribosomal RNA
Source: RNAcentral
GAUCCUGGCUCAGAUUGAACGCUGGCGGCAGGCCUAACACAUGCAAGUCGAACGGUAACAGGAAACAGCUUGCUGUUUCGCUGACGAGUGGCGGACGGGUGAGUAAUGUCUGGGAAACUGCCUGAUGGGGGGGGAUAACUACUGGAAACGGUAGCUAAUACCGCAUAACGUCGCAAGACCAAAGAGGGGGACCUUCGGGCCUCUUGCCAUCGGAUGUGCCCAGAUGGGAUUAGCUAGUAGGUGGGUAACGG